AUUGAACGCUGGCGGCAGGCCUAACACAUGCAAGUCGAACGGUAACAGGAAGCAGCUUGCUGCUUUUCUGACGAGUGGCGGACGGGUGAGUAAUGUCUGGGAAACUGCCUGAUGGAGGGGGAUAACUACUGGAAACGGUAGCUAAUACCGCAUAACGUCGCAAGACCAAAGAGGGGGACCUUCGGGCCUCUUGCCAUCGGAUGUGCCCAGAUGGGAUUAGCUAGUAGGUGGGGUAACGGCUCACCUAGGCGACGAUCCCUAGCUGGUCUGAGAGGAUGACCAGCCACACUGGAACUGAGACACGGUCCAGACUCCUACGGGAGGCAGCAGUGGGGAAUAUUGCACAAUGGGCGCAAGCCUGAUGCAGCCAUGCCGCGUGUAUGAAGAAGGCCUUCGGGUUGUAAAGUACUUUCAGCGGGGAGGAAGGGAGUAAAGUUAAUACCUUUGCUCAUUGACGUUACCCGCAGAAGAAGCACCGGCUAACUCCGUG
Molecule: ribosomal RNA, 490 nt
Filed under: uncultured bacterium
Lineage: Bacteria
Description: partial 16S ribosomal RNA
Rfam family: Bacterial small subunit ribosomal RNA
Source: RNAcentral